AUUGAACGCUGGCGGCAUGCCUUACACAUGCAAGUCGAACGGCAGCACGGGUGCUUGCACCUGGUGGCGAGUGGCGAACGGGUGAGUAAUACAUCGGAACAUGUCCUGUAGUGGGGGAUAGCCCGGCGAAAGCCGGAUUAAUACCGCAUACGAUCUACGGAUGAAAGCGGGGGACCUUCGGGCCUCGCGCUAUCGGGUUGGCCGAUGGCUGAUUAGCUAGUUGGUGGGGUAAAGGCCUACCAAGGCGACGAUCAGUAGCUGAUCUGAGAGGACGACCAGCCACACUGGGACUGAGACACGGCCCAGACUCCUACGGGAGGCAGCAGUGGGGAAUUUUGGACAAUGGGCGAAAGCCUGAUCCAGCAAUGCCGCGUGUGAAGAAGGCCUUCGGGUUGUAAAGCACUUUUGUCCGGAAAGAAAUCCUUGGCCCUAAUACGGUCGGGGGAUGACGGUACCGGAAGAAUAAGCACCGGCUAACUACGUG
This 484-nucleotide ribosomal RNA is filed under the name uncultured bacterium. RNAcentral's name for it is "partial 16S ribosomal RNA". It matches the Rfam family "Bacterial small subunit ribosomal RNA", at positions 30 to 507 of the family's 1533-position model. The record is from RNAcentral.